RNAcentral lists this ribosomal RNA (274 nucleotides) under uncultured bacterium. RNAcentral describes it as "partial 16S ribosomal RNA". It matches the Rfam family "Bacterial small subunit ribosomal RNA", at positions 523 to 796 of the family's 1533-position model. The record is from RNAcentral.
AUACGGAGGGUGCAAGCGUUACUCGGAAUCACUGGGCGUAAAGCGCGCGCAGGCGGCUUGAUAAGUUGGAUGUGAGAGCCUACGGCUCAACCGUAGAACUGCAUCCAAAACUGUCAGGCUAGAGUGUGGGAGAGGAAGAUGGAAUUAGUUGUGUAGGGGUAAAAUCCGUAGAGAUAACUAGGAAUACCAAAAGCGAAGGCAAUCUUCUGGAACACUACUGACGCUGAGGCGCGAAGGCGUGGGGAGCAAACAGGAUUAGAAACCCCAGUAGUCC